Molecule: non-coding RNA, 2515 nt
Organism: Camelina sativa (false flax)
Lineage: Eukaryota; Viridiplantae; Streptophyta; Magnoliopsida; Brassicales; Brassicaceae
Source: RefSeq, a predicted model, not a curated record
UCUUCUCUUAGAUUCUGCUUUUUUGAUUUUACAGUAUGCAAUUUAGGGUUUAGCUUAAAGUUUCUGUUGUUUGAUAGAGUUUUGUUUUUUUUUUUUAUGUGGGGCGUAAAAAGAGAGAGUGGAGGGGGAUAUGGUGAUGAAACGAAUAUUUCGUGGACUAGAGUUUCAGAUCUGGGCUCUUCACCCAGAAUUUGAAGAAACAACCCUUGGCUGUCUGAUUGUUAUCUAUGGGGGAAAACUAGAUAAGUUUGCGAUGAUGAUAAAAUAGCACGAAGGUGCGUGAAGGGCAGUGGACAAAGCAAUGAGAAUUGUUUUGCCGUGAGCUCUCUUUAACAAACGACUUCUCCUUCCACUGAGCAUCCUUUUUCCCCUAUUUGAUUGAUUGUUUUGAUAUUGUUAAUGAUGAUUUGGUGGCGUCUUUUACCAAUUCUGAAGGAUUUUAAAAACUAUUCCUUUAGGUAUAAUGGCAUUGACGCAAUAUAAGGUUGUGGUAUAUCCUGAUCAUUUUUCUUUUUUUUUUCCAUGUUAUUUGAUCCUGGAAAUGCCUCAGACAUUUUGUUUUCUAUCUAUGUGUGUUUUUUUCUAUUGUCCGAAUUGUAGCUUUUUUUGUUUUUGAAUUGAAGAGAUUUGUGUGUAGAUAAUUUCACGACCUUGUGUUGGAUGGAAGAAGUUUUGGUUUUGAGUUUGUUUCAGUUGAUAUGGUUUUCUAUUUUAAUAUCGUGGAUUGCUGGCUAAUUAUAAAAUCAAAGAUGGCUUAAUGGAUUAAGAAUCCUAAGAUAACAGUUUUUACGAAGUUAUCAUUUGACCCUCAUAGAACAUGGAUUACUAAAACUUCCACCGUUGGAUGUUGGGUGUACAAAUAAAAGUGUGAUACAUUACAUAAUGACUAAUGUUAUGCCAGCUUGAGGCUUACGAUUGUUGGAUUACCUUUGAGUUUGUUUAUUUUGUUAUGUUACUCAUUUAAAUCCUCGUAAAUGCUAUUUGCCAUUGAACUUACUUAGAUGGCAGAUUCCAUCCUGGAUGAUGAAUUGUUUGAUCUGUUUGUGUUAUGUUCAAUGCGUUUGUCAAAGAUCUAAAACCUAUAUUUUGGUGGAAUUUUCUGUUCAAACCCGCCAAUUGUUGGGGAUACUGUUAUAAUAUUUCUUUUGAGGGAUGCAAUUUUUGAAUUAACCAUAGACUGUACUAGUAGACUUUGGAUGAUACGUUGUUAGGUUUAAUGAGAUUUGUGGGUGAAUCAUGUCACGUUCUUGAGGAUUGAUCAGUUGUGAGAUGAAUGAUGGCUUUUGUUUCUACUAGUUGAAUAUGGAGGAUAAGAUGAUAGAUGGCUCACAACAAUUAAGAAUUCUAGGAUUGCAAGAUUUACGAAUUGUAAUCAUACGGUAUGGAAGAUCAAGUUCACGAGUUUCUUAAGUUGGGCUAUCUUACCCGAUAAGAUGGUGAAAACUCUCACAGCUAAUGAGAGCUAGUAAUAUUUUGUUAAAUGCAUCGUUGUUUUAUCUACGAGUGUUUUAGUCGGUAAUUGUGUGACAAAGUAAAGAACGUUCUUGCAAUAAUAGUUUUGUCAAAUAAUCCUAACACGAGUUCCUAACACCUUCUUCUUUCUCUCUCAAAAACCUAAUCGCCGCUUCAAAGACCUAGAUCUAAAUCUCUCCGUUUAGGGUGGCUGCCGUCCUUCUGACGGUGGCCCCGUAUACGUUUUAGUUUAUAGCUUAAUCUUCUCUUUAAGUUCUUUUGGUUUCGUCCACAACGAAGUUUUGAAAUCUGAAUCUGUCUAUCAAUUUCAUCUCUUUGCUUCAGAUUGAGUUGAUUCGAUUGGUCUGUACCUUUGUCAGUCGAAUCAAAUCUCUGGAGGUGGUGCAACGAAAUUAGGAUCGGUCCUAAGCCUACCUUCCUCUGUUUAAUUGAAUUUGAUUUUCUCUAGUCUUUGGUUCAGCUUCGGUGUGAAGUCAUCACGAUGGAAGAACAGAAAAGGUUAUCAUCCACUCUUUGAAGAAGAUGUUCUCGGGGUCCUGUUACCUCGCCCAGCAGAUGAAGCUUCCUUCCUCCCCGCAUCUUUAAAUAAAAUUUUUCAAUCGGAGCAUAUCAGCAGCUAUAGUCUCGUGUCUUCUCCUGGAUUGGCUGAAGCGCUUCUGAAGAGGUAUUGGGUUGAGUUUCAAUUGAAGAUAUAGCGGUAUAGAAGGGGUUGAUUUCUUCAUUAUUUGGCUGGUGCUCUUCUUCAUCAAGGUUCUUCAAUUUUCCUUGUUAAUCUGUCUGACUACAGCUUUAUCCUUUCGCUCUCAAGAGCGUUUGUUUUGUUUGUCUGCUUUCUGAGUCUUUUUCCUCUGCGGACGAAGGACUCCUGCAUCGUUGCCUUCAUCGUCUUGGAGUUAAACUUCUCUCCCGACUGACUUGGUUUUUAGAGAUAAAUUCUUAGUAGCUUUGCAGUUUGGUUGGUUUUGGUUUAAAUCUGGUGUUUAGUUUGUAAAAUUUCCUUGUUUGGACUUAAGUUUAAAGUUUCUGAGGGUUUUUCUUUGUA